This 253-nucleotide ribosomal RNA is filed under the name uncultured bacterium. Its description in RNAcentral is "partial 16S ribosomal RNA". It matches the Rfam family "Bacterial small subunit ribosomal RNA", at positions 524 to 776 of the family's 1533-position model. The record is from RNAcentral.
UACGUAGGGGGCGAGCGUUGUCCGGAAUCACUGGGCGUAAAGGGCGCGUAGGCGGUAAUAUAGGUCAGAUGUGAAAGGUGGGGGCUCAACCCCUAGAGUGCAACUGAUACUGUAUAACUUGAGUGUGAGAGAGGGAAGCGGAAUUCCUAGUGUAGCGGUGAAAUGCGUAGAUAUUAGGAGGAACACCAGUGGCGAAGGCGGCUUUCUGGCUCAUAACUGACGCUGAGGCGCGAAAGCGUGGGGAGCAAACAGG